UUCCGAGGUCUUGAAUGCAGAUUAUCCAGAUAAAGGUCUUCGUUUUUUCUCAGAAAAGGUUAGUCAUCAUCCAAUGGUUGUUGCAUGCCACUGUGAGGGAAAUGGCUGGAGGUUUUGGGCAGAUAGCAACCUAAAGAGCAAGUUCUGGGGUCGCUCCAUUCAACUUGAUCCUGUUGGUGUGUUAACACUGGAGUUUGAUGAUGGUGAAGUUUUCCAGUGGAGCAAGGUGACCACUUCCAUUUACAAUCUCAUAUUGGGUAAACUGUACUGUGAUCACUAUGGUACUAUGCGCAUUCAAGGUAAUCGCGAAUAUUCAUGUAAGCUGAAGUUCAAGGAGCAGUCAAUUAUUGAUCGCAACCCUCAU
This is a long non-coding RNA of Triticum dicoccoides, 364 nucleotides long. RefSeq lists it as uncharacterized. The record is from RefSeq and is a predicted model, not a curated record. Lineage: Eukaryota; Viridiplantae; Streptophyta; Magnoliopsida; Poales; Poaceae. The transcript is spliced from 3 exons.